This 253-nucleotide ribosomal RNA is filed under the name uncultured bacterium. RNAcentral's name for it is "partial 16S ribosomal RNA". It matches the Rfam family "Bacterial small subunit ribosomal RNA", at positions 524 to 776 of the family's 1533-position model. The record is from RNAcentral.
UACGUAGGGGGCUAGCGUUGUCCGGAAUCAUUGGGCGUAAAGAGCGCGUAGGCGGCCCGGUAAGUCCGCUGUAAAAGUCCAGGGCUCAACCCUGGAAAGCCGGUGGAUACUGUCGGGCUCGAGUCCGGAAGAGGCGAGUGGAAUUCCUGGUGUAGCGGUGAAAUGCGCAGAUAUCAGGAGGAACAUCUAUUGCGAAGGCAGCUCGCUGGGACGUAACUGACGCUGAGACGCGAAAGCGUGGGGAGCAAACAGG